GACGAACGCUGGCGGCGUGCUUAACACAUGCAAGUCGAACGGAAAGGCCCUGCUUUUGUGGGGUGCUCGAGUGGCGAACGGGUGAGUAACACGUGAGUAACCUGCCCUUGACUUUGGGAUAACUUCAGGAAACUGGAGCUAAUACCGGAUAGGAGCUCCUGCUGCAUGGUGGGGGUUGGAAAGUUUCGGCGGCUGGGGAUGGACUCGCGGCUUAUCAGCUUGUUGGUGGGGUAGUGGCUUACCAAGGCUUUGACGGGUAGCCGGCCUGAGAGGGUGACCGGCCACAUUGGGACUGAGAUACGGCCCAGACUCCUACGGGAGGCAGCAGUGGGGAAUAUUGCACAAUGGGCGGAAGCCUGAUGCAGCAACGCCGCGUGCGGGAUGACGGCCUUCGGGUUGUAAACCGCUUUCGCCUGUGACGAAGCGUGAGUGACGGUAAUGGGUAAAGAAGCACCGGCUAACUACGUG
Molecule: ribosomal RNA, 468 nt
Filed under: uncultured bacterium
Lineage: Bacteria
Description: partial 16S ribosomal RNA
Rfam family: Bacterial small subunit ribosomal RNA
Source: RNAcentral